GUCAUGCUGUGUUUACGCACGUGGUGAGCGGGUACAAACUUCCCUGCUGCUGUCGCUUACGGCCACCUCCAAAGCUUCUGCUGAUGUUAGUUGGGCCCGUCAAGAUCUAGCCCAUCUCUGCACCGUUGACAAAAUUAGCUGCAAGUGCUGAUUGCUGCUGGUUGGCUCAGUCUAGAAUCAGGGCCAACCGAAAUGCUCAUCUGCUCAUGACUUUCAAGGAGUUCUUGGAUUUGCAACUUCUCCAUGCUCACAAAGCACCCUGUGUUUCUUCCCCACUAGCAAUUAGCCCACGAGACACUAUAUUCUUGGUGCUGAUGCAGUCAUCGACGUCUUCCCCAUCUUUCUCCAAGAAUACGCCAAGAUCACGUGGAGUGGAGAGUGCGAUGUGCCUCGUUGGAGUAGCAGCAGGUGUCAGAGCCGGUUGAGUCGAGCUGUCAUCUCCGGGAGCCGUGACGGAAGGCUCGAUGUACCAUCCACUGCGAGCCCCAUGACGAGGACAGGGCAUGUCUACCUCCACCAAAUAUGUUACAUGGGAAGUCGCAGGCAAGAAGCUACAUACAAGUUUAUUUACAAAAUGAAUACGCUGCACUUUGCCAAAAGACAACAGCCCAUACUAGUAGUCUCUAGUUGUCGUCAUCUUCACAGUGCUGGCCUCUUCUCUAUCAUAGCUAUUGGUCCGUAACAAUAUUGAUGAUUCUGAAAACUGGGAGUUCUGUCAUGAUGAAGGUUGUAUCCAGUGG
This 740-nucleotide long non-coding RNA is filed under the name Dermacentor andersoni. Its description in RNAcentral is "uncharacterized LOC126538778". The record is from RNAcentral. Lineage: Eukaryota; Metazoa; Arthropoda; Arachnida; Ixodida; Ixodidae.